Molecule: ribosomal RNA, 698 nt
Filed under: uncultured bacterium
Lineage: Bacteria
Description: bacterial SSU rRNA
Rfam family: Bacterial small subunit ribosomal RNA
Source: RNAcentral
UGCUGCUUCGCUGACGAGUGGCGGACGGGUGAGUAAUGUCUGGGAAACUGCCUGAUGGAGGGGGAUAACUACUGGAAACGGUAGCUAAUACCGCAUAACGUCGCAAGACCAAAGAGGGGGACCUUCGGGCCUCUUGCCAUCGGAUGUGCCCAGAUGGGAUUAGCUAGUAGGUGGGGUAACGGCUCACCUAGGCGACGAUCCCUAGCUGGUCUGAGAGGAUGACCAGCCACACUGGAACUGAGACACGGUCCAGACUCCUACGGGAGGCAGCAGUGGGGAAUAUUGCACAAUGGGCGCAAGCCUGAUGCAGCCAUGCCGCGUGUAUGAAGAAGGCCUUCGGGUUGUAAAGUACUUUCAGCGGGGAGGAAGGGAGUAAAGUUAAUACCUUUGCUCAUUGACGUUACCCGCAGAAGAAGCACCGGCUAACUCCGUGCCAGCAGCCGCGGUAAUACGGAGGGUGCAAGCGUUAAUCGGAAUUACUGGGCGUAAAGCGCACGCAGGCGGUUUGUUAAGUCAGAUGUGAAAUCCCCGGGCUCAACCUGGGAACUGCAUCUGAUACUGGCAAGCUUGAGUCUCGUAGAGGGGGGUAGAAUUCCAGGUGUAGCGGUGAAAUGCGUAGAGAUCUGGAGGAAUACCGGUGGCGAAGGCGGCCCCCUGGACGAAGACUGACGCUCAGGUGCGAAAGCGUGGGGAGCAAA